RNAcentral lists this ribosomal RNA (758 nucleotides) under uncultured bacterium. RNAcentral describes it as "bacterial SSU rRNA". It matches the Rfam family "Bacterial small subunit ribosomal RNA", at positions 8 to 796 of the family's 1533-position model. The record is from RNAcentral.
AGAGUUUGAUCAUGGCUCAGAAUCAACGCUGGCGGCGCGCCUAACACAUGCAAGUCGAACGAGAAAGCAGGAGCAAUCUUGUGAGUAAAGUGGCGUACGGGUGAGUAACACGUGGAUUAUCUACCUCUUUGUGGGGGAUAACCCUGGGAAACCGGGGCUAAUACCGCAUAAGUCUGAGAGGAGAAAGCAGCAAUGCGCAGAGAGAGGAGUCCGCGGCCGAUUAGUUAGUUGGCAGGGUAAAAGCCUACCAAGACAAAGAUCGGUAGCCGGCCUGAGAGGGCACACGGCCACACUGGCACUGAAACACGGGCCAGACUCCUACGGGAGGCAGCAGUGGGGAAUCUUGCACAAUGGGGGCAACCCUGAUGCAGCGACGCCGCGUGAGCGAUGAAGCCCUUCGGGGUGUAAAGCUCUUUCGGCAGGGAAGAUUAUGACGGUACCUGCAGAAGCAGCUGCGGCUAACUACGUGCCAGCAGCCGCGGUAAUACGUAGGCAGCGAGCGUUGUUCGGAGUUACUGGGCGUAAAGGGUGUGUAGGCGGUUUUCUAAGUCUGGUGUGAAAUCUCCCGGCUCAACUGGGAGGGUGCGCCGAAAACUGGAAGGCUAGAGUGCGGGAUGGGUAAGUGGAAUUCCUGGUGUAGCGGUGAAAUGCGUAGAUAUCAGGAGGAACACCUGUGGUGUAGACGGCUUACUGGACCGCAACUGACGCUGAAACACGAAAGCGUGGGUAGCAAACAGGAUUAGAUACCCCAGUAGUCC